GUUUCCUACGGGACGCAGCAGUUAGGAAUAUUCGUCAAUGGGGGAAACCCUGAACAAGCAAUGCCGCGUGAGUGAUGAAGGCCCUAUGGGUUGUAAAACUCUGUUGUUGAGAAAGAAUUGUAAGAUUAGGAAAUGAGUCUUACUUGACGGUACUCUUCAAGAAAGCCACGGCUAACUACGUGCCAGCAGCCGCGGUAAUACGGAGGAUCCGAGCGUUAUCCGGAUUUAUUGGGUUUAAAGGGUGCGUAGGCGGUUUGAUAAGUUAGAGGUGAAAUGUCGGGGCUCAACCCCGAAACUGCCUCUAA
RNAcentral lists this ribosomal RNA (305 nucleotides) under uncultured bacterium. RNAcentral describes it as "bacterial SSU rRNA". It matches the Rfam family "Bacterial small subunit ribosomal RNA", at positions 334 to 630 of the family's 1533-position model. The record is from RNAcentral.